UCUCCGUAGGUGAACCUGCGGAGGGAUCAUUACUGAGUGAGGGCUCCGGCCCGACCUCCAACCCCAUGUGAACCGAAACCUGUUGCUUCGGGGGCGACCCUGCCUUCGUGCGAGGCGCCCCCGGAGGCUCAUCAAACCCUGCAUCUUUGCGUCGGAGUCUUAAUGAAUUUAAACAAAACUUUUAACAACGGAUCUCUUGGUUCUGGCAUCGAUGAAGAACGCCAGC
This 226-nucleotide unclassified non-coding RNA is filed under the name uncultured fungus. Its description in RNAcentral is "sequence contains ITS1, 5.8S rRNA gene". The stretch from base 177 to 226 matches the Rfam family "5.8S ribosomal RNA", at positions 1 to 49 of the family's 154-position model. The record is from RNAcentral. Lineage: Eukaryota; Fungi.